RNAcentral lists this ribosomal RNA (253 nucleotides) under uncultured bacterium. RNAcentral's name for it is "partial 16S ribosomal RNA". It matches the Rfam family "Bacterial small subunit ribosomal RNA", at positions 524 to 776 of the family's 1533-position model. The record is from RNAcentral.
GACGAACCGAGCGAACGUUAUUCGGAAUCACUGGGCUUAAAGGGCGCGUAGGCGGGCGGCCAAGUCAGGGGUGAAAGCCCCCAGCUCAACUGGGGAAGUGCCUCUGAUACUGGUCGCCUCGAGGGAGGUAGGGGCGUGCGGAACUUCCGGUGGAGCGGUGAAAUGCGUAGAUAUCGGAAGGAACAUCGGUGGCGAAAGCGGCGCGCUGGACCUCUUCUGACGCUGAGGCGCGAAAGCCAGGGGAGCGAACGGG